CAUCACUGUGACAGACCUGAC
Molecule: unclassified non-coding RNA, 21 nt
Filed under: Mus musculus (house mouse)
Lineage: Eukaryota; Metazoa; Chordata; Mammalia; Rodentia; Muridae
Description: oocyte_clustered_small_RNA6497
Source: RNAcentral